UAGGGAAUCUUCGGCAAUGGGGGGAACCCUGACCGAGCAACGCCGCGUGAGUGAAGAAGGUUUUCGGAUCGUAAAGCUCUGUUGUUAAGGAAGAACGAGUGUGAGAAUGGAAAGUUCAUACUGUGACGGUACUUAACCAGAAAGGGACGGCUAACUACGUGCCAGCAGCCGCGGUAAUACGUAGGUCCCGAGCGUUGUCCGGAUUCAUUGGGCGUAAAGCGAGCGCAGGCGGUUAGAUAAGUCUGAAGUUAAAGGCAGUGGCUCAACCAUUGUAGGCUUUGGAAACUGUUUAACUUGAGUGCAGAAGGGGAGAGUGGAAUUCCAUGUGUAGCGGUGAAAUGCGUAGAUAUAUGGAGGAACACCGGUGGCGAAAGCGGCUCUCUGGUCUGUAACUGACGCUGAGGCUCGAAAGCGUGGGGAGCGAACAGG
This 429-nucleotide ribosomal RNA is filed under the name Bacteroidota bacterium. Its description in RNAcentral is "Bacteroidetes bacterium partial 16S ribosomal RNA". It matches the Rfam family "Bacterial small subunit ribosomal RNA", at positions 355 to 776 of the family's 1533-position model. The record is from RNAcentral. Lineage: Bacteria; Pseudomonadati; Bacteroidota.